UUUGAUGGCGACCGGCGCACGGGUGAGUAACACGUAUCCAACCUGCCGAUGACUCGGGGGAUAGCCUUUCGAAAGAAAGAUUAAUACCCGAUGGCAUAGUUCUUCCGCAUGGUGGAACUAUUAAAGAAUUUCGGUCAUCGAUGGGGAUGCGUUCCAUUAGGUUGUUGGCGGGGUAACGGGCCCACCAAGCCUUCGAUGGAUAGGGGUUCUGAGAGGAAGGUCCCCCACAUUGGAACUGAGACACGGUCCAAACUCCUACGGGAGGCAGCAUG
RNAcentral lists this ribosomal RNA (272 nucleotides) under uncultured bacterium. RNAcentral describes it as "partial 16S ribosomal RNA". It matches the Rfam family "Bacterial small subunit ribosomal RNA", at positions 84 to 353 of the family's 1533-position model. The record is from RNAcentral.